UACGUAGGGCGCAAGCGUUAUCCGGAAUUAUUGGGCGUAAAGAGCGUGUAGGCGGCCAUUCAGGUCAGCUGUGAAAACUCGAGGCUCAACCUCGAGACGUCGGUUGAAACCGUUUGGCUAGAGUCCGGAAGAGGAGAGUGGAAUUCCCGGUGUAGCGGUGAAAUGCGCAGAUAUCGGGAAGAACACCCGUGGCGAAGGCGGCUCUCUGGGACGGUACUGACGCUGAGACGCGAAAGCGUGGGGAGCGAACAGG
RNAcentral lists this ribosomal RNA (253 nucleotides) under uncultured bacterium. RNAcentral's name for it is "partial 16S ribosomal RNA". It matches the Rfam family "Bacterial small subunit ribosomal RNA", at positions 524 to 776 of the family's 1533-position model. The record is from RNAcentral.